CUACCCUUGACAUGCCUGGAAUCCUGCAGAGAUGCGGGAGUGCCCGAAAGGGAGCCGGGACACAGGUGCUGCAUGGCUGUCGUCAGCUCGUGUCGUGAGAUGUUGGGUUAAGUCCCGCAACGAGCGCAACCCUUGUCAUUAGUUGCUACGAAAGGGCACUCUAAUGAGACUGCCGGUGACAAACCGGAGGAAGGUGGGGAUGACGUCAAGUCCUCAUGGCCCUUAUGGGUAGGGCUACACACGUCAUACAAUGGCUGGUACAGAGGGUUGCCAACCCGCGAGGGGGAGCUAAUCCCAUAAAACCAGUCGUAGUCCGGAUCGUAGUCUGCAACUCGACUGCGUGAAGUCGGAAUCGCUAGUAAUCGCGGAUCAGCAUGUCGCGGUGAAUACGUUCCC
RNAcentral lists this ribosomal RNA (396 nucleotides) under uncultured bacterium. Its description in RNAcentral is "bacterial SSU rRNA". It matches the Rfam family "Bacterial small subunit ribosomal RNA", at positions 975 to 1375 of the family's 1533-position model. The record is from RNAcentral.